CCUACGGGAGGCAGCAGUCGGGAAUUUUGGGCAAUGGGCGAAAGCCUGACCCAGCAACGCCGCGUGAAGGAUGAAGUAUUUCGGUAUGUAAACUUCGUAAGAAUAGGAAGAAUAAAUGACGGUACUAUUUGUAAGGUCCGGCUAACUACGUGCCAGCAGCCGCGGUAAUACGUAGGGACCAAGCGUUGUUCGGAUUUACUGGGCGUAAAGGGCGCGUAGGCGGUGUGUCAAGUCAGUUGUGAAAUCUCCGAGCUUAACUCGGAACGGUCAACUGAUACUGUCACACUAGAGUACAGAAGGGGUAAUCGGAAUUCUUGGUGUAGCGGUGAAAUGCGUAGAUAUCAAGAGGAACACCUGAGGCGAAGGCGGGUUGCUGGGCUGAUACUGACGCUGAGGCGCGAAAGCUAGGGUAGCAAACGGGAUUAGAUACCCCGGUAGUCCUAGCCCUAAACGAUGUAUGCUUGGUGUCUGGAGUAUUAAUUCUCUGGGUGCCGCCGCUAACGCUUUUAGCAUACCGCCUGGGGGAGGUACGCACGCAGUGUGAACGUUAAAUAGUAAGUUAGACGGCGUGUAAGACGUGUUCCGAACGGACGACGACGAAGGGGAGGUUAGG
RNAcentral lists this ribosomal RNA (613 nucleotides) under uncultured bacterium. Its description in RNAcentral is "bacterial SSU rRNA". The stretch from base 1 to 519 matches the Rfam family "Bacterial small subunit ribosomal RNA", at positions 338 to 873 of the family's 1533-position model. The record is from RNAcentral.